CUCCUGACCUCAAGUGAUCUGCCAACCUCAGCCUCCCAAAGUGCUGGAAUUACAGGCAUGAGCCAUCGCUCCUGGAAAGGAGACCCUUCUUAACAAAAUGCUAAAUGAGUUUCUCUGUGUCUCUCCCAAUGUCAGUUUUUGCCAACAAAUCUUGUCAAAUCUUCUUGAGCAAAAAAAACACAAAGUAUUUAGCCAGGGAAAACCUUACUUUUAAUAUCCUUGCCUCCUAGGGUAAGAUAUUUCUGAAGGAAAUCAGAAACGCCCCAAAUCAAGACUUGAUUCUUAUUACUCAUAAGAGAGGACUGAAGCUUUAACAAUUAAUCUGCUUAGAACUGCAAUGUAAACUGCACGCAGCUAUUACCUGAUUUUUAUUUCUACUACUUUUCUUCCAUCACAAGCCCUAUGCAGAAAAAAAAGUGGACGCCAGGAAGAAGCGGUCCAUGAUAUUCCCCAACUUUGGAAUUUUCUGUCAAGGUGAAUUGUGUUGGCCUCCGCAUUUCUCUCUCAUACACAGAGCUCUAUUUCAUGCCAACAAAGGAAA
Long non-coding RNA from Nomascus leucogenys (northern white-cheeked gibbon), 541 nucleotides. RefSeq lists it as uncharacterized. The record is from RefSeq and is a predicted model, not a curated record. Lineage: Eukaryota; Metazoa; Chordata; Mammalia; Primates; Hylobatidae. The transcript has 3 exons.